AUACGGAGGGGGUUAGCGUUGUUCGGAAUUACUGGGCGUAAAGCGCACGUAGGCGGACUGGAAACUUGGGGGUGAAAUCCCGGGGCUCAACCCCGGAACUGCCUCCAAAACUUCCAAUCUAGAGAUCGAGAGAGGUGAGUGGAAUUCCAAGUGUAGAGGUGAAAUUCGUAGAUAUUUGGAGGAACACCAGUGGCGAAGGCGGCUCACUGGCUCGAUACUGACGCUGAGGUGCGAAAGCGUGGGGAGCAAACAGGAUUAGAUACCCUUGUAGUCC
Molecule: ribosomal RNA, 274 nt
Filed under: uncultured bacterium
Lineage: Bacteria
Description: partial 16S ribosomal RNA
Rfam family: Bacterial small subunit ribosomal RNA
Source: RNAcentral